This 55-nucleotide transfer RNA is filed under the name Mus musculus (house mouse). It matches the Rfam family "tRNA", at positions 1 to 54 of the family's 71-position model. Rfam says of the family: Transfer RNA (tRNA) molecules are approximately 80 nucleotides in length. Their secondary structure includes four short double-helical elements and three loops (D, anti-codon, and T loops). The record is from Rfam by way of RNAcentral. Lineage: Eukaryota; Metazoa; Chordata; Mammalia; Rodentia; Muridae.
GCCCAGCUAGCUCAGUUGGUAGAGCAUGAGACUCUUAAUCUCAGGGUGUUGGAUU